ACAAUUAAUGGUAGAUUUAACAGUUUGACUAAUAGAUGUAUGAGACUGUCCCAAAAUUGACACUUUAGGUACGACUCUGAGACGAACAAAACGUGGAUGACACAUGGGGCCCAGUCAUUGUCUACAUGGGCGCCACGUCACAAUUAACGGCAGAUUUAACAAUUUGACUAACGGAUGUAUGAGACUGUCCCAAAAUUUACACUUUAGGUAUGACUCUGAGAAGAAAAAAACUUGAUGUACUAAAUGUUGAAAACCACGAAACAUGAGAGUAGUAAACAGUCUUUUACCCUAUUUUUUAAUACAUUGAUAUAAUGUUAAACUAAAAAGAGGAAGAGUUUGACUAAGCUAUACAAUGGAUAACCUAAUUUAGUAUCGAAUUCGCCAUCCAUGAGAUUCAAACCUAAGACCUCUCAUUUCCAAGUGAAGAAGAAUAUCACUAGACCGUAAUACUAGGUGGCUAUUCAAAAUAAUGUUAGGUGAAUCAAAUGUCUCCUUAGUAAUUUUCAAUUUGUAAAUCAUGUGAUAUCUCAUUAAUAUUAAUAAACACGCUAUUCAACACUUAAAGUUUAUAAAUAACCACGUCACAAUAGUUAUAAAAUAUAAUUUAAACAGAAUUUCUACUUUGAGUAAUUUUUUUUUUGGUCAGUUACUUUGUGUAAUCUAGUAUUACCUUUUUAUUCACAUCUCUCUUAUUUAAAUUUUAAAAUUUUUAUUAUUUACUUAUUCACAUUCUUCUUUUAAAUUUUUCAAAGUCAAAAUUUUUAUUUUGGGAUGGGUCCUGACUUGGAUAACAAGAACUUUCAUGAAAUAGAUUCAUCGUCGUGUGAUGUCGAUUCAAGUGCAUUCUCGUAUGUAAUAUUUUUUCUUACUUUUUUUUUUUGGAGUAAUUUUUUUUCCUAUUGUAAUAUGUA
This 911-nucleotide long non-coding RNA is filed under the name Malus domestica (apple). RNAcentral describes it as "long non-coding RNA (MDOM_LNC015840)". The record is from RNAcentral. Lineage: Eukaryota; Viridiplantae; Streptophyta; Magnoliopsida; Rosales; Rosaceae.